UUCCUCUUUAACGAGUGAGUUAGUUGUUUGGUAGUUUGUACACAUGAAUCCACAUACAUUUUUUCUGACCCAAUUUUCGUUUCUUCUUGUCAUCCAUAUCUUUUCUUAACCAACCUUUAAUUUCGUUCUUAAUUUAUCUCCACAGUGUCUUAGGUGAAAAAUUAUCCAGCUAAAUGUAUCUCUUAAUACAUUCUGGUUCAACUACUGUUUCCUCUGAACCGCCAUUGUGCCUCACCAUUGGUUAAUGACCUUUAUAUUAUCAAUUUUUGGUGCAACUCCGUCCUUAAAACUAACUACAUCAUCAUCACCAUCACCAUCAAUUACCACAAAAAAAACAUCAACAAACAUCAGCAUAUCCAGCUAAACUGCUUGCUAUAUUUAUAUAUUUUAUUCAUCUUAUUACAUCGCCAUCAUUUUUAUACUUCCAUUUGUAUUUUUUUCACCAUCUUUUUUAAUCACCACAAGUCCAAAUGAAUUUACAACUACAUUAUAAGUUAUCAUUACAACCUCUUCUAACCACAGCUUCGUCGACAACAACAACAAGCUCACCAUCAACCAUGAUAGAUGAAAUUUAUUCUCAUGAAUUGGAAAGUUAUUUUCCUACAAGGACUGAGGAGAAGAGUGAACAACUAAAAAAGUCCUGUUCUUUUUCCAAUUUUCAAAGUUUACUUAGCCAAGAAGAGUCCAAUAAGAAUAAGUUUCUCGUUGAUUUAACGCAGAAGAAGCUCAAAAUUUUUGCCUUUCUGAGCGAAUCUUCAUCCAGCGCCUUUCGGAACAAAAUUUUACUCCAAAAUACACUUAAGAAACAUAACAAAGACGAUGAAAACGGAUCAUCAACUGAGCCAAUCAGAAUAACAGAUGAAGACUACAAUUCAUUUAUGAACUCAGAGUCUUACAAUGUGCCUACAAUGAAUGUUAAAUUUACUCCUAGGAAAAGAGAAUUAAGAGAAAUUAAUGAAACAAACUGUACAGAUGGAGACGAAUGGAGGACAGAUUUCAAAAAGUUAAAAGUAUCCUGCCCAUCCGAAGAAAGUGAAAUGAAAGCAUCUAGCAGUGAAAAAGAUGACGAUUUUUUACCUGAUGAUUUGGCUUCUGUGUUACUAGCCUUAAGAACAUUAGAAUAGUUAAAACAUCAUAAUUAUAAAUACAACAAUUAUGAAAUAUGUACAGCCAACAAGUUCAUCUUUUCAAGUUUGUAAAUACUUCAUAUGCGCAGUUAACCAAAUGAGAUAGUCUAUCACAGAGUUACAAUGAUAAUUUUUGUAUUUAAUAUAUGUUUUUAAAGAGCUAUUUAACUACCAAACCGUUUAACCAAUUCAUCCUUGAUAUGUGCUAUUGCCGCGCAUUAGAUAUAGAAAUUAUCAGCAAACUUGAAUCCUUUGUUGUACAAACAUCCAAACCAGUAAAUAUUUAUUCCCGGAAUCAAGUACGAUCUGUAUAUAAGAAUGAUGGUAAUCGCACGAUUUUUUCACCUUCGAAGUCGCCAAACGGCCUAUCAAAAUUUUGUUAACGACAGCAAAGAUGCAUCCAACAAUCAAAUCAGAGCUCUAUCGAGUAUUUUCAAACUCUUCAUCGAUAUUCUCUUGUAACAUAAUUUAAACUCUGCCUGAAGUUAAAGAUGACAUUUGUAUUGAAACGUUUUGUUCUCAAUUUUGUAAAUUUUGAAAAAACAAUAAAUCAUUUAUCUUCUUUCA
Molecule: non-coding RNA, 1694 nt
Organism: Tetranychus urticae (two-spotted spider mite)
Lineage: Eukaryota; Metazoa; Arthropoda; Arachnida; Trombidiformes; Tetranychidae
Source: RefSeq, a predicted model, not a curated record